This 544-nucleotide ribosomal RNA is filed under the name uncultured bacterium. Its description in RNAcentral is "partial 16S ribosomal RNA". It matches the Rfam family "Bacterial small subunit ribosomal RNA", at positions 355 to 893 of the family's 1533-position model. The record is from RNAcentral.
UGGGGAAUUUUGGACAAUGGGCGAAAGCCUGAUCCAGCAAUGCCGCGUGUGUGAAGAAGGCCUUCGGGUUGUAAAGCACUUUUGUCCGGAAAGAAAUCCUUGGCUCUAAUACAGUCGGGGGAUGACGGUACCGGAAGAAUAAGCACCGGCUAACUACGUGCCAGCAGCCGCGGUAAUACGUAGGGUGCAAGCGUUAAUCGGAAUUACUGGGCGUAAAGCGUGCGCAGGCGGUUUGCUAAGACCGAUGUGAAAUCCCCGGGCUCAACCUGGGAACUGCAUUGGUGACUGGCAGGCUAGAGUAUGGCAGAGGGGGGUAGAAUUCCACGUGUAGCAGUGAAAUGCGUAGAGAUGUGGAGGAAUACCGAUGGCGAAGGCAGCCCCCUGGCAAGUACUGACGCUCAUGCACGAAAGCGUGGGGAGCAAACAGGAUUAGAUGCCCUGGUAGUCCACGCCCUAAACGAUGUCAACUAGUUGUUGGGGAUUCAUUUCCUUAGUAACGUAGCUAACGCGUGAAGUUGACCGCCUGGGGAGUACGGUCGCAAGA